RNAcentral lists this ribosomal RNA (544 nucleotides) under uncultured bacterium. Its description in RNAcentral is "bacterial SSU rRNA". It matches the Rfam family "Bacterial small subunit ribosomal RNA", at positions 355 to 896 of the family's 1533-position model. The record is from RNAcentral.
UGAGGAAUAUUGGUCAAUGGGCGAGAGCCUGAACCAGCCAUGCCGCGUGCAGGAAGACGGCCUUCUGGGUUGUAAACUGCUUUUAUACGGGAGCAAAGAGUCCCUGCGGGGAAAAUUGAGAGUAUCGUAUGAAUAAGCACCGGCUAACUCCGUGCCAGCAGCCGCGGUAAUACGUAGGGUGCGAGCGUUAAUCGGAAUUACUGGGCGUAAAGGGUGCGCAGGCGGCCCCGCAUGUCAGGCGUGAAAUCCCCGAGCUCAACUUGGGAAUGGCGCUUGAAACUACGGGGCUGGAGUGUGGCAGAGGGAGGUGGAAUUCCACGUGUAGCGGUGAAAUGCGUAGAUAUGUGGAGGAACACCGAUGGCGAAGGCAGCCUCCUGGGCCAACACUGACGCUCAUGCACGAAAGCGUGGGGAGCAAAUAGGAUUAGAUACCCUGGUAGUCCACGCCCUAAACGAUGACGACUAGUUGUUGGAGGAGUUAAAUCCUUUAGUAACGAAGCUAACGCGCGAAGUCGUCCGCCUGGGGAGUACGGUCGCAAGAUUA